AGUAGAAAAUUGGUAACUCAUGUAGGUUGGCAUCAAAUUAUUGCCAGUAAUACAUUUAUUGGCAAUCAGUACAUGAUCAGUGACUGAAUUAGUACAUGCAUAAUCAUCCCAGCUCCCUUGUUCCAUACAACUGUAGAAAUAUAGUCCACAAUAUGUUGAUUUGCAUCUUGUUUGAGCUAGCUGGCACUGUACGGUUCAGGUGUUGUAGGCUGCAAGCACCAAAGUUGAAGAGGCUAUUAACAGAAUAUAGCUGUUUGAUACGCCUUUUACGCGUUUGCUUUUGUUCUUGACAGAGGUGCUUGUGCCUCUUGCAUCCUCUCGUGUGCAAUUUUUCAAUUCUGAAAUAGUACAUUUAAUUGAAGGCUAGAAAAGAUUUAGUUCUUAUAUCAGGAGUCACUACAAUCGCCUAUUUAUUGGAACAUUUCCCCAGUUGUUUCACUUAGGAAUUAUGACUUGAUUUAGAUUUAUUUUCUUCAAACUUGCACCAAUCAAUAUUUCUAGCUCUUCGCGUUGUCCAAUCAACAUUUUCUGCUUUGAUGAAACUUAAGCAGUAAACUCAUGGCUACACUCUCUCUAAUGGUAAAGCCACUUCUUAUGUAACCACCACUCUUGUGUGCUAAGCUGAUACUUGACACAUGCAAUACGAAUCACAGGCUUGCCAUUAUUUCUUUAUUUUAACAUUUGUUAUAGAGGCUUGACAUGGUUUUGCCUAUAUUUUUCGAUGUUGGUACUUCUUAUGUGAAGGUCUUAUUCGUUAUUCUUUUAUUUAAUGACAGUAUUAUCAUGUUUCUGAUUAUGUUGCUUGUGUACUGUGUUUUAUACUCGGUUGCAUGUUGUUGUUAUGCUAUCUCAGAUGCCUGUUAUGCUAUGCUCUGAUAUAUGGUUACGUGGUUCUUGCUUAUUUGUCCAGCGUGUGUGUAUGACGUUGUUGGGUUGUUGACAUGGCGCGUGGUCCGGUUUCUGCUCAUGCUCAAGCCACGGUCAAGGCUGAUGUUGGGUUGCUAGGUGGCCGUGGGCAUGGUCGUGGGCGGUCUGCUGGUCGUCGUGGACGAGCCACUGGCCGUGGAGGUUCUAAUAUAGGGCGUGCCCCUGUUUCUGAUCAUGUCGUUGCCGGUGGGGUUGCUGCUUGCCGGGUGCCUGCCGCUGGGGCUGAGCCUCUUGACAGGCGUAGGGGCGUGAGUCGGCAGGUGCCUACUGCUGGAGCUGAGCCUAUCGCCAGGCGUGGGCGCGGCGCUCGACAGGUGCCUGCCGCUGGGCGUGGCGCCCUACCUCGGCCAAGUACACCAUGAAAUAUUCAUGUCCAUUAUCUAAAAAGGUGCACCAUGAAAUUCCUUUCCUUCUGAUCCGUGUACUGGAUCCAAAGAAGUAGUUACCACAUAUGUAUUGAGUUAACUGUCAAGCUAGCAUUUGCUUUUCUAGGAAAUACUGCUAAACAUAUCGCUGUAUCCAAAGAAGGAUGCUGCUCUUCUCUCGAAGACCACAUGAUUCCUGCCUUUUAGUGAUUGAUUUUGCUGACUCAGAACGAUGAUUUGUUUGCUUUAUAGUAUCCAUCACCUUUGCCAAUUUAUUUUUCCUUCGAUUAAUAUCUAAAUGUAAUUUUGACCCGAAGUUCUCUCUAUUCAAUACAUGCAUAAUAAUUUUGCUCAAAAAAUACAUGCAUAAUGUGUAGCUUUUCUGUCAAUUGGAAGUGAGCUUCGUUGACCUGGUAGAUUUUAUAUUAGACUAGCCGCACCUGUGUAUUUCUAUCAGCUUUUACUAUCUGUUCUUCAAUGGAUCAGUUGCAUCAGACUGUAGGUACUGUCGACCGUAAAGCUAUAAAUCCAGCUCUGCAUGCUUUUGUCAGUGCAACUAAGAUCAAUUUUCCGAUUUAUUUAUUGUGAAAUCUUAUUCUACAAGAGGCAAAAAGUCAUUUCUGUUUGUUCUUAAUGUUAAUAUGUAUUUCUGCCUCCGAUACCCUCACAAAUUUAAUAGAUUCUCCUGUUAUUAUUUUCUUAUAGUUGUAUUUGAAGCAUUGGCAUCUCUAGCCGAGCCGCGCAAGCAGAAAGCGGAGCAGGAGCAGCUCGGGGACGAAGCCAAGGUAUAAAAUGCCGAAUCUCCCAAUAAAGUGGUACUGUAUAUCGUUCACUCUGCAUCUUCUACCUCAACCAGAAUAUAGCUACUAAACACAUCGAGUUAGUCCGAGAAUAACUCUGAACCUCUGCUAUCUCUCUCUGCCGUGUGAACUGAUGAUGCAGGAUGACAAAGUUGUGAACUAAGCCGCAAAAUGAGGCCAAGAGCAUGAUGGCGUCAUCGCUAUCGUCCCCUUCAGCGUCCAGGAACCAGGCAAAACGCCAUUGUCAAUGUGAGGGGCGAUGAGCGAAUGGGCGGCGGCAUCGCGCACAAUGGCAUGACGAUCAGAUCGGCGACGUGAUCGAUCAGUUCAUUAUUGUCGAUCGUUGUGUGGGAUUCUAUGUCAAUCUUUUUCUGUAAACUUUUGUUUUGUUGAUUCCAAUUAUUUAAGAAAUUGUAAAAUUUUGUAUCUUCUGUAAGUAAAUGUCAGUGCCAAGGCGUCUUUUGUAUAUUUCAUGCAAUUCUCAUAAGGUUGCGAACGAACUUAUUAUUUUGUGUUAUUCUAAACCUUGAAACUUUUGGUGCAUUAUAUAUGCUAAAUAUUAUAUGAAAUGCAUCAAUGGAAUGUGAUCUUCAUGACUUUUACCGGAUUGGAUAUGAUUCACCCGGCAGGGCUGCGGCAAGCCGCACUUCCUACUAACUUAAACCAUGCUUUCUACUAACCGAUGAUUACCUUCUUGACCACAUCGUUGGGACCGGCACCCCGCGUUCCUGAUCUAGUAGGAGAGGAUCAGCCGGCUUGCCGCUGCUAGCUGAGUGCGGUUGCGUGGCCGCGUGGCGCCAGUCGUGGGUCGGGCGACUUGCUGUCGACUUGGCGGGCAGCCGUGGGCGGCGGCCGAUGUACCCCGCUGGCGAGAUAAUUGCAUCUAUAGUCCUCGUAGUUGCUGGCUAGGUUUAACAUGGUCCUCGUACUUGACAAGUGCUUCAGUACAGUCCUUAUACAUGAAAAUACGUUGUGUAUAUGGUCCUGAUACUUGAAACAACGGUCCUGAGUCGAGUCUUUGUGUACGUAUUCCGUAUAGCGCAACGUGGCCAAGUGCAGGUCCCAGUUGUCGGUGGGGGAGGGGGAAAAAUGAUGCGCGCUGUGAGGAAUUGGAUUCGAACCCGAGACAUAAACAAACCAACAUCACACGGGCUAGCCAUUUAAGCUAACAGCAAUUAUACUGAAAGUUUAUUAUAUACAGUAUAUAGUGUCAUCCACCUGAUCUGGCGUGCCCAUGCGUGGGCGCUGUGCAUGUUUCUUUCUUCUUUUCUAAAAAUGUGUUCUAGUAACAUAAAUUUUAGUAUUUAAGUGAAGGCACACUUCUUUUUUGCGAGCAAACUUCCAAUCUAACUAUUCAUUCGCUAUCAAGAUAGUACAAAGAACACCUGAAGUAAAAAAAUACAUCCAGAUCCGUAGACUACCUAGCGACGACUACAAGUACUGGAGCGAGCCGAAGGCGCGCCGCCGUCACCGCCCCUCCCUUAUCAGAGCCGGGCAAACGUUGUUGUAGUAGACAAUGGGUGUCCAUGCUUCAUAUUUAUUUUAUUAUUUUGGUGGACUGAUUUUAGUAUAGUUUGCUAUUCUAAAUAUGUUAAAAAUUAAUAAAUUAAUCUAUUGUGUUUGAUAGCUUAGUAGAUUUAGUAAAUUUAAUAAACUUUUUAGUAGAUUUUGUUUGAUAGCAUAUUGUGUGAGGUACAACUCACCUUCCAUUUAGUUGAGCGAAAAUAUUUCAAAUAUGAACCUUAUGCACUUUUUUCCUUCUAAUUGUGAAUUCAAGUACAUCAUCACGCAUUUCCCAUUUGCUGUAGCACUACAUAAUGGUAUACUUCUUUUAGAAAUUCUACUCCUUGAUUAUAUCAAUUCUACAUUUGGUUUCUUACGCCUUCUGGGCCAUGGUUGUGAUUAUUUUAGUAGCUGAAUGAGAAAAUUAACUUAUACUUCCUCUGUCUCAUAAUUUAAGACGUUUUUCUAACACCACUAGGGAGUAGUUAAUAGUAACCGAACGAACAUAAAACGGCCAUGCCAAUGAGUAGAAUACACAUAGGCGCAUGAGGUGCUCCAGCUCAGUGACGGAGCUUCAUGGGGGCCAACCUGGGCGGUGGCCCCCCCCAGCUCACAGGAAAAUAUAUGUAUAUAUCUUAGUUUUAGGCCUAUUUUUUCACCAAAAAUCAGCCUGUAGUGANNNNNNNNNNNNNNNNNNNNNNNNNNNNNNNNNNNNNNNNNNNNNNNNNNNNNNNNNNNNNNNNNNNNNNNNNNNNNNNNNNNNNNNNNNNNNNNNNNNNNNNNNNNNNNNNNNNNNNNNNNNNNNNNNNNNNNNNNNNNNNNNNNNNNNNNNNNNNNNNNNNNNNNNNNNNNNNNNNNNNNNNNNNNNNNNNNNNNNNNNNNNNNNNNNNNNNNNNNNNNNNNNNNNNNNNNAUUCUUGCCCAAGCUCCGCCACUGCUCCAGCUCACUGUGUUACAAGAACAGAUUUGGGUCAGCUGGUAUGUACUGGAGUGAUCUAGCCAUGACAACGCAAGUAUGAAUUCCCACCGGCGCAUGGACGCGACAGUUUAAUUUUCGUUAUAUUUUUAUAAGCGCCUGCUGACAGGCGGGUCCCGUAGAAGACAAACCGCUGACAGGUGGCUGUCGCACUGCGCUAUACAGAAUACGCACACUACGGCUCAACUCAGGACCAUUGUUUCAAGUACGAGGACCGUAUACACCACGUAUUUUUAUGUAUGAGCAGUGGCGGACCCAGGAUUGGCUGACGUCCCAGGCGAGAAACUAAGGGCUAAAAACUACCCAAAAAAAACUCCAGUUUCAAGGCAUACAAAAGUCAAUCUAUCUUGCAUAACUAAUAAGAAACCAAACAUAAUAUUCAAUGGCAGCAUUUGUUCCAUGAUGGGUCAACUAAUAAAGCAAGACAAAUCAAAAGACUAUAUGUAGCAUAUAUAGAUGAUACAAAAAAUUGAUACCAAAUCAAAGGAUUGGUUGAUCUGAGCCUCCCAUGGGUCUAACAAACAGUGGCAUCUAGCAACUAAAAUCAUCAUAAAAAAUUACUCAAAACAGUUGAUUUGAAGUUAUGCUUCCUUACAAAAGAACUUGGUUCUUCUAAACUAUGCUAUUCUGCCACAUGUAUCACCAAAUACAUGGCUUCCCUUUUCUGCCUAUUCGGCACAAAGCUUUGUCCUAUAGUAACAUAAGAAAGAAAGAAACAUGGGUCUAAUUUGAACAUUUAUAACCAUCUUUCAGCACUAAUUUAAGCUGUUGCCAACUUUUGCAAGACCUAACUUGGUGUGCUAACAAAAUACAAGUAAUAGAUUAAGGCAGCUUUUAUUUCUUUCCAAACGGCCAUCAAGUCUUCUUCUGCUAUUUAAUCACAAUUUUUUCUUCAAGUACUGAAAUUUGUCUCGUAGCUUUGCGCUGUGCCACGGCUGAUUUAAAAGAUCAAACAGAAGAUUCAUUACCCUGACUACUGCAAGGUUUAAGGUAUGCUAUGCUAUCCAACAGCUUCAUGAAGACUACAUGGUCAUGAAUAGAAUGUGUAUUCACUCAUGGCAUUUAAGUUAUUUCUCCAGUUAAAGCAGAAACAGUUUCUCAAUGCAUAAUUUAUACUAUUCAUGGCAUUACAGAACUGACCAGAACCCUGUGCAGAUAAUGACUUGGCCAAGUUUUGGAGUCCUCUUAUAUCAUUAACCUUGUUCUUCUUCAGAGUUGAAUUAGUAGAGUCCAAGUGGCUGGGAUACUGGCUGGGAUGAAUGUGCACAACAGCACAAGAGCAUUUGCAAAAGCCUAGAAGUACAUAAAAAAAGUAACAAAUGUAACAGAUGAGACUAACAAUACAAUCAGGGGUCAUUCAGAAUACAAAGUUGCAGUUCAAGCAGCACAAUAGACUUCUCCAGAAAAUUUAAUCACAAAGAGCUAAUCAUACUGACAUGUAGCCUCGCGCCCUAGCCGCCGUAGCUGCCUAGCCGGGGUCGCCGCCUCGUGCCCUCGCCGGACAGGCCAGCAGCCGGCAGCGGUGCAACCUGACGCGGGGACGCCGCAGAAGCAGAAGGGAGCGAAGACUGGAAGGUGGGGGGAGCCCGGGGGCGCUGCCGGACGGAGCUGGCAGGCACGACGGCAGGCGGUGGCGGCGCCUAGGGUUCGUCAAGUCGGGGGAAGAAGCAGAAGGGGCGGCUGCGGCUGGUUCGUCUCUGCGGGCGGUGAGGGUUGCGCGUUUGUGCGG
This 6299-nucleotide long non-coding RNA is filed under the name Triticum aestivum (bread wheat). RNAcentral describes it as "long non-coding RNA (TAES_LNC004222)". Lineage: Eukaryota; Viridiplantae; Streptophyta; Magnoliopsida; Poales; Poaceae. The record is from RNAcentral.